This is a non-coding RNA of Gasterosteus aculeatus aculeatus (three-spined stickleback), 1044 nucleotides long. The record is from RefSeq and is a predicted model, not a curated record. Lineage: Eukaryota; Metazoa; Chordata; Actinopteri; Perciformes; Gasterosteidae.
GACCCUGACCUCUAACAAGACCCUGACCUGUAACGAGACCCUGACCUCUAACAAGACCCUGAUCUCUGAAGAGUUCCUGACCUGUGACAUGUUUAUGGUUGGCUGCAAUUCUGAGUGAAUGUUAUUAAUGUAAAGAACAAAAUGUCACCAAAUGCAUGAAGACAUAUUGACUCAUAUUGUAACAACUUUUCUAUUCUUUCUUUUCUAUAUCUCGUCCGCUGUGAUCUGAAAAGUAAAAUCACACUUUGCAUUCUGUGAAUGGAUUUUUGCAGAAUUGAUCCACGUGUCAGAAUUUCCUUCAUACUUUCUCCGUACAGAAAAGAAGAAGAGAAAGCAGACGAGGAAGUCCAGCUUGUUUCUGAGAAAGCAGCAGGGGAUGAAUGGAGGUCAAUGAGACCUGUGCUGCACAUAAAGGCUGCACAGAGCAGCUCUCCACCACAGAACAUCGAAGGCUCUGAACAUGAAGACUCUGCUGCCUCUCGGUCUCCUCCUCUGCGUCCUGGGAAGCCUCUCAGCCGCGCCGGUCGGUCCGUCGAUGCUGAACAACGGAUGCUGUGUGAGUACCAGUCAUGUGCACGUUCCCAGAGGCAAGGUGAUCCACAUCGGGAUGAGCUCGAGGGAAUGCCCAGUCACAGCCAUCAUAAUCACAACUGAGAAGAGGCAGUUUUGCAUCGAUCCUGACUUAAAAUGGGCAAAGACACAAUUGGCUCAUUUUAAGGCUAGCACUACUAGUAUUUCACAUCCCAAACACCAACCGACGAUCCGCUCCUUUGUGCAUCGUGAUGACAAGCAAAACACAACCGAAUCACCAAAGUGAUGAUGACACAGAAAACGCACUUUGUUUGAGGGGAGCCGCAUUUUAAGAGCUAAUGUGAAAUAGCUUCUUCUUUUAUUACAUGUCAAACACGGAGGACGUGAGUCAAAUAUUCAUCACUCUGCAAACAGCUGCUGUGUUUUGAUUUAUCACUUUCAGAGACAACAGGAAGAUGUAUUAUUGCUACUGUACAAGCCCUUUCAUAAUAAAAGCUUUAUUUUUCCAUUAAA